RNAcentral lists this small nuclear RNA (100 nucleotides) under Salvator merianae (Argentine black and white tegu). The record is from RNAcentral. Lineage: Eukaryota; Metazoa; Chordata; Lepidosauria; Squamata; Teiidae.
CUGCUCAUUAGCACAUAUACUAAAAUUGGAAUGACAGAGAAGAUUAACAUGGCCCCUGAGCAAGGAUGACACACAAAUUUGUGAAGCAUUCCAUACUUUU